GAUGAAGAACGUAGCGAAAUGCGAUAAGUAAUGUGAAUUGCAGAAUUCAGUGAAUCAUCGAAUCUUUGAACGCACCUUGCGCUCCUUGGCAUUCCGAGGAGCAUGCCUGUUUGAGUGUCAUUAAAUUCUCAAGACCUGUCUGCUUUUUUGAUAGGUAUUGGAUUUUGGGGGUUGCAGGCUGUUUCAAAUAAAUAGCCUUGCUCUCCUUGAAUGUAUUAGUGGAGAAAAGCCAUUGAACUCCAUUGGUGUGAUAAAACCUAUCAAUGCCAGGAGCAAUAUCACUACUUCUCUCUGCUGUCUAACUGUGACUGUCUGUAUUAAUUAGUAUGGAUGGGAACAACUUGACCAACUUGACCUCAAAUCAGGUAGGACUACCCGCUGAACUUAAGCAUAUCAAUAAGCGGAGGA
This 408-nucleotide unclassified non-coding RNA is filed under the name soil metagenome. RNAcentral describes it as "partial contains 5.8S ribosomal RNA, internal transcribed spacer 2, and large subunit ribosomal RNA". The stretch from base 1 to 120 matches the Rfam family "5.8S ribosomal RNA", at positions 35 to 154 of the family's 154-position model. The record is from RNAcentral.